Molecule: unclassified non-coding RNA, 226 nt
Filed under: Hevea brasiliensis (rubber tree)
Lineage: Eukaryota; Viridiplantae; Streptophyta; Magnoliopsida; Malpighiales; Euphorbiaceae
Source: RNAcentral
AAGGUUGCACUGUAAUUUCCUUUCUCUCCCUCUCAAUAAAAGAAAAAAGAAGCUAACCUAUUUCUUGCUGGUCCAGGGAGUACCUUCGUUGGUUCCCUAUGUGCCUUGGUAUAAAAAUAGGGUGUUGUGAACUUCCAUCAACUUUUCUCCUUUAUCAGUUUCAUCUCCUUGGGAACACCUGUUUCUCUUAGACAUCACAUCAUUAUAGAAAUAUUCUCAAUUUAAU